CGCAUUGCUACAUAGUACGGGCAUUGUGGCGCCUUAGUUUAAUUUCUUUAUACACUGGCUAUUUUGUGAGAUUGAGGUCUUAUUAGCCUAUAAUCCGAGCUCUUUUGAGAGGUCAGAUUCAGAUUUUUUAUUCCAGCACCCUCUUGAGGUCUGCAUGGCGCUUUUGGCUGUCGUAUGAGAUUAAAGUCUCUUUAUCUUAUGACCCGAACUCCUUUGGGAGGUCGGAUUUUAACUUUUCAUUUGUGGUCCAAUGCCCCAAUAUUUUAUGUAGGUUGGAAC
This 279-nucleotide long non-coding RNA is filed under the name Manihot esculenta (cassava). RNAcentral describes it as "long non-coding RNA (MESC_LNC003044)". Lineage: Eukaryota; Viridiplantae; Streptophyta; Magnoliopsida; Malpighiales; Euphorbiaceae. The record is from RNAcentral.